GGGUCAGCGACUUAUAUUCUGUAGCAAGGUUAACCGUAUAGGGGAGCCGGAGGGAAACCGAGUCUUAACCGGGCGUUAAGUUGCAGGGUAUAGACCCGAAACCCGGUGAUCUAGCCAUGGGCAGGUUGAAGGUUGGGUAACACUAACUGGAGGACCGAACCGACUAAUGUUGAAAAAUUAGCGGAUGACCUGUGGCUGGGGGUGAAAGGCCAAUCAAACCGGGAGAUAGCUGGUUCUCCCCGAAAGCUAUUUAGGUAGCGCCUCGUGAAUUCAUCUCCGGGGGUAGAGCACUGUUUCGGCUAGGGGGCCAUCCCGGCUUACCAACCCGAUGCAAACUGCGAAUACCGGAGAAUGUUAUCACGGGAGACACACGGCGGGUGCUAACGUCCGUCGUGAAGAGGGAAACAACCCAGACCGCCAGCUAAGGUCCCAAAGUCAUGGUUAAGUGGGAAACGAUGUGGGAAGGC
Molecule: ribosomal RNA, 467 nt
Filed under: Salmonella enterica subsp. enterica serovar Bareilly str. CFSAN001591
Lineage: Bacteria; Pseudomonadati; Pseudomonadota; Gammaproteobacteria; Enterobacterales; Enterobacteriaceae
Description: bacterial LSU rRNA
Rfam family: Bacterial large subunit ribosomal RNA
Source: RNAcentral